Molecule: long non-coding RNA, 2979 nt
Filed under: Trifolium pratense (red clover)
Lineage: Eukaryota; Viridiplantae; Streptophyta; Magnoliopsida; Fabales; Fabaceae
Description: long non-coding RNA (TPRA_LNC012534)
Source: RNAcentral
GACAAUUAAGAUUUCAAAAUCCGUUAAAUUUGCCUAAUAUUACACAAUUUUUGUAAGCCUCUCAUGUUUUUUAGAGACGGAUUAAGAAAUUAUCCUAAAAAUAGUGUAAACAAAGUAUAACUAUAAAGGAAUGCUCGGGUGCCAUAAAGUUUCAACACUUAAGAUUUAAAUAGUGUAAACAAAGUAUAAUUAUAGAUGAAUGCUUGGGUGCCAUAAAGUUUUAACACUUAAGAUUUAUUUGUACAACUUAGAAUCACACAAUGCAUUAACAAAAUUAAGGGAAAACAAAAACAAUCGAAAACAACUAAUGCAUUAAUAAAUUUUCCCAUCCAUUGCAUUGCUACAAGAUCCUCCUCCCUCUUCUUUUAUCAAAUAACCUAUGUUUAGCUCAACUUCAUACAUCAUAUAGUCUGCAAAUACAAUUGGUUGCCAUAAUUAGAAGAUUAUAAUUUGACAUGAGAAUUGAGAAGAAAGUAAGAAAUACGAUUUGACUAUAAUUCGAUAAAAGACACUAUUUCAACACAUUUAGCACACAUUGUGUUGCAAUCCAAAUUUGAAACUAUAGUGUGAUCAAGAACCAAGCAUAUAAAAAUUGUCAGAUAUUUAGUACAGUUAAUUUCAAAUUGCCAAAUACUUCUCUAUUGAAAAACAUUUUCUUAUUGAAGUUUGUUAUACCUUCCCAGGUUGCACUGAUAGCUUAUGCAUCCCCAUCAUGUGCAUAUUGAAUGAAUUAGUUGGGCAAAAUACAUGAGUGAAAUAUUUCAAUCUUAAUACUUCUCUUGAGCAACUUUAAUGGCAGAUCCAUAUCUUCUUGGUACGUGGGGAAUGAUCUCUUAGUAACACUUUCAGUUGGUGAUUUCUCAUCACCACUCAAAACAGCUUCACCAAACUUUGGCAUCAAAUACUAAAAAGUAAAACUCUUAAUAAUCAAUAUGAGUAGUAACACUAAACUGCAGAAUUUGGUUUCAAGUAAGUAAAUAUUUAUUUUGCAUAAAAAUACUGAAAAUGUACCUNNNNNNNNNNNNNNNNNNNNNNAUCUGACUUUAACAGAAAAAAGUGAGAUUAAAGUUAUUUAGAGAACAGUUUAAAUGAAUAAGAUAAGUGUUCAUGUGAGAUUUUAGAAACCAGUUUUGUGAAAACAUGUUCAAUAAUAGACAAGACAAAAUUGAAAAAGGUAAAAACUUUGUUAUAACAUGUGAAAGGACAUCAGAAGAUCCUGCCAACAUAGGUUGUUUGCCUUUGUCCAUGAAGGAACUCAAUGAAGCAUUUUCCUAAUCUAUUAUACUUGCAUUGCAUCUCUAAUAGUGUUUGUUGGUUUUGCUUAAGAACAUAGAGAUCAAUUAAAAGAAGAUCAAUUAAUUGAAAAUAUCAAAAGAGAAAGUAUUUUUGUUGGCUUUGCUUAAGAACAUGGAACUAUUAGAGUAUAAGUAAUCUAUGAAAAGUUUCUCCAAAAAAACAGAGUAUUAAAAUCAAAAGGCAGCCUAAAACAUGUUGAACUCAUAGAAUUAGAUUGCAAGUUAAAUACCAAAAACAUCAUAGCCAUAGUCAUACCUACCAACAUUGAACUCAGUAGCAAUAGUCAAGGCCAUUUUUUUCUAAAGUUUUUAGCAAGUUUAUAGCCAGAAUGAUGAAGAAGACACCAUUUUUAUAAAUACCUGAAAGCUGGUGAUGUAAAAGCUAACAAAUAAUCAGUAUUCACUAAUUGCAUACAAAUGAUGGUUUAGAAAAGCACAAAAAAUAAGACCACAAAGCCAUCAAUUUUUCAUAGAGACGUUUUCUCAAACACUUUGAGUGCUCUUACUUUCACAAUCAAAUGAGAGUUUUCAAAUACAAUCAAAGCUAGGUAAAUGAAAAGAAAAAUGAAAUAUGGAAAUGAACAUUGAAGAAAUUGCAGAAGUAUAGUAAAUAGCUAUGAAAAUAUACCUUUAAACUCCAUUUCUCUUAACAGCAGCAACAAAACCAAGAGGAAAACCUGGAAGUACAAAAAAGUAACAGAAAAAUGCAAAAAUUAGAAAUAAAAAUUGAAAUAAAAAAAACAAAUUAAGAAAAACUAUAAAAUAGUGCGAAAAGAGAUCGAGACCUGUAGACAGGAGAUUGAAAAAAAUGAGGGAUUUCAAAAAGGGAAGAAAAAUGGAGCUCAUCAAGCUUUGGAGUAUAGAGAGAGAGAUGAGAGUUUGAAAUUUGAAAUUGAGAAUUGGUUUUUGAAAGUGGCUGAAUGUGUACUUCAUAUCCAUUAUAUGCAUAAUUGUUUUUGUCCAACACAGAUGAUAAUUUGUCCUAUGGUUAAAAUUUUGUUUCUGUUUGACUCCUUUUUUUGGUCUGACGGUCAGAUUUUGGUUGUUUUGCACAUGAGUGAAAGUGACGGGUCCUCCUUAUUAGCUUCAGCCCUCCAAAAGGGAAAUUCAAACAUUUGAAUUUUACUUCCAAUUCAAGCAAUCAAAUUGGCAAAGACAAAAGUCGCUCUUUUAUUUUCUUCAAAAGUUUGAUGGCUUUGUGGUAAUUAAUGCAUUCAAGUAAAAACCAUAUUUUAAAAAAUGAGAUUAUUUUGAAAAGUCCUAAACUACACAACAAAGCCUUUCUUUUAUAGACUAAUAAUCAUUUAGUUCUAAUGACAUAUACAACUAUACAAUGUAACACAUUAAAAAACUCUAAUUAAAACCUUAAAUCAAAAUAAUACAUAGUAAAUAAGCUUACCUAAUAUACUGAUCAUGAGGCAUGUAAAGUUCAUUGAGAGGAUCGAAGUAGCCAAAUGGUAUACAAAAGCAAAAGAAAAAUUGAAGUUAGAGUUUGGAAGAGAAAAAACAAAAAAAGAAUGCUAAGAAAGCUAAUAGACCUAGUUUAUCCUCAUUAACCAUGUCAUUAUCUUUUUGUUUGCUACUUCAUUGUCAUUGCUAACUUAUUAGAAGAAUUAACCAUGUCAUUAUCUUUUUGUUUGCUAUUUCCCUGUCAUUGCUAACUUGUUAGAAGAAAGUAUUGGAG